RNAcentral lists this transfer RNA (71 nucleotides) under Loxodonta africana (African savanna elephant). It matches the Rfam family "tRNA". From Rfam's summary of the family: Transfer RNA (tRNA) molecules are approximately 80 nucleotides in length. Lineage: Eukaryota; Metazoa; Chordata; Mammalia; Proboscidea; Elephantidae. The record is from Rfam by way of RNAcentral.
GUGUUGGUAACUCAGUGGUAGAAUUCUCACCUUCCAUGUGGGAGACCUGGGUUCAGUUCCUCGCCAGUGCA